CUUCGGGGGUAGAGCACUGUUUCGGCUAGGGGGUCAUCCCGACUUACCAACCCGAUGCAAACUACGAAUACCGAAGAAUGUUAUCACGGGAGACACACGGCGGGUGCUAACGUCCGUCGUGAAGAGGGAAACAACCCAGACCGCCAGCUAAGGUCCCAAAGUCAUGGUUAAGUGGGAAACGAUGUGGGAAGGCACAGACAGCCAGGAUGUUGGCUUAGAAGCAGCCAUCAUUUAAAGAAAGCGUAAUAGCUCACUGGUCGAGUCGGCCUGCGCGGAAGAUGUAACGGGGCUAAACCAUGCACCGAAGCUGCGGCAGCGACACUAUGUGUUGUUGGGUAGGGGAGCGUUCUGUAAGCCUGCGAAGGUGACCUGUGAGGGUUGCUGGAGGUAUCAGAAGUGCGAAUGCUGACAUAAGUAACGAUAAAGCGGGU
Molecule: ribosomal RNA, 431 nt
Filed under: Pseudomonas aeruginosa
Lineage: Bacteria; Pseudomonadati; Pseudomonadota; Gammaproteobacteria; Pseudomonadales; Pseudomonadaceae
Description: partial 23S ribosomal RNA
Rfam family: Bacterial large subunit ribosomal RNA
Source: RNAcentral